UGUGCCAGCAGCACGCGGUAAUACGUAGGGUGCGAGCGUUGUCCGGAAUUACUGGGCGUAAAGGGCUCGUAGGUGGUUUGUCGCGUCGUCUGUGAAAUUCCGGGGCUUAACUCCGGGCAUGCAGGCGAUACGGGCAUAACUUGAGUACUGUAGGGGUAACUGGAAUUCCUGGUGUAGCGGUGAAAUGCGCAGAUAUCAGGAGGAACACCGAUGGCGAAGGCAGGUUACUGGGCAGUUACUGACGCUGAGGAGCGGAAGCAUGGGUAGCGAACAGGAUUAG
Molecule: ribosomal RNA, 280 nt
Filed under: uncultured Actinomycetales bacterium
Lineage: Bacteria; Bacillati; Actinomycetota; Actinomycetes; Actinomycetales
Description: partial 16S ribosomal RNA
Rfam family: Bacterial small subunit ribosomal RNA
Source: RNAcentral